This 252-nucleotide ribosomal RNA is filed under the name uncultured bacterium. Its description in RNAcentral is "partial 16S ribosomal RNA". It matches the Rfam family "Bacterial small subunit ribosomal RNA", at positions 524 to 776 of the family's 1533-position model. The record is from RNAcentral.
UACGGAGGAUGCGAGCGUUAUCCGGAUUUAUUGGGUUUAAAGGGUGCGUAGGCGGAAUAUCAAGUCAGCGGUAAAAAUUCGGGGCUCAACCCCGUCCGGCCGUUGAAACUGGGGGCCUUGAGUGGGCGAGAAGAAGGCGGAAUGCGUGGUGUAGCGGUGAAAUGCAUAGAUAUCACGCAGAACCCCGAUUGCGAAGGCAGCCUUCCGGCGCCCUACUGACGCUGAGGCACGAAAGUGCGGGGAUCGAACAGG